Mus musculus (house mouse) is the source of this 551-nucleotide long non-coding RNA. RefSeq annotates it as predicted gene, 46463. NCBI's taxonomy places the organism in Eukaryota, Metazoa, Chordata, Mammalia, Rodentia, Muridae. The record is from RefSeq and is a predicted model, not a curated record. The transcript is spliced from 3 exons.
AAUAAGAAUGACUGCCCCCACCCCUGGCCCCUCCCUACCCCCACUCCACACAAGCAUGCCCCCAGUCUAUGGAAUGUAAACACUUGGCCCUCAGUCAGUGACAUUGUUUGGGAAGGAUUAGGAGUUCCUCUUUGAAGGAAGUACCUCACUGUGGGGGCAGGGUCUCGGAGUUUAAAGCUUCACACUGCUCUCAGUUGGCUCUCUCUGUUCCAAGACUUCAGUGCAUCAUGCUACAGCUUCCUGCUUCUACUGCUAUACCUGCCUCAUGCAGCCAUGCCUCCCUCCCAGGAAGAACUCUUAUGCUUCUGGAAGUAAAAGCUCCAAAACAAUCUUCUAUAAGCUCUGCUGGUCAAGAUCUCAACUUCUCCCCUAAGAAGCAGUAUGUAAGCUAAGUGCCACCAUGAUGGGCACCACAGCACGAGGUAGAGCCUGGACUGCCACCGUGAGAGAUGGGCACCACCGCACAAGUUACAGCCUGGACUUCAGGAGGGGUGAUGAUCAGAAUGGUCUCAAGCAACUCCAGAAUUUCCACACCAAAGCAGAAGGCUUAU